AGAGUUUGAUCAUGGCUCAGAUUGAACGCUGGCGGAAUGCUUUACACAUGCAAGUCGAACGAUGAACCUUAGCUUGCUAAGGGGAUUAGUGGCGAACGGGUGAGUAAUAUAUCGGAACGUGCCUUGUAAUGGGGGAUAACUAGUCGAAAGAUUAGCUAAUACCGCAUACGCCCUGAGGGGGAAAGUAGGGGAUCUUCGGACCUUACGUUAUAAGAGCGGCCGAUAUCUGAUUAGCUAGUUGGUGGGGUAAUGGCCUACCAAGGCUUCGAUCAGUAGCUGGUCUGAGAGGACGACCAGCCACACUGGAACUGAGACACGGUCCAGACUCCUACGGGAGGCAGCAGUGGGGAAUUUUGGACAAUGGGCGCAAGCCUGAUCCAGCCAUUCCGCGUGAGUGAAGAAGGCCUUCGGGUUGUAAAGCUCUUUCGCAAGGGAAGAAAACUUACACAAUAACACUGUGUGAGGCUGACGGUACCUUGAUAAGAAGCACCGGCUAACUACGUGCCAGCAGCCGCGGUAAUACGUAGGGUGCGAGCGUUAAUCGGAAUUACUGGGCGUAAAGCGUGCGCAGGCGGUUUGGCAAGUCAGAUGUGAAAUCCCCGAGCUCAACUUGGGAACUGCGUUUGAAACUGCCAGACUAGAAUAUGUCAGAGGGGGGUAGAAUUCCACGUGUAGCAGUGAAAUGCGUAGAGAUGUGGAG
RNAcentral lists this ribosomal RNA (700 nucleotides) under uncultured bacterium. Its description in RNAcentral is "bacterial SSU rRNA". It matches the Rfam family "Bacterial small subunit ribosomal RNA", at positions 8 to 703 of the family's 1533-position model. The record is from RNAcentral.